RNAcentral lists this ribosomal RNA (329 nucleotides) under Streptococcus sp. oral taxon 070. Its description in RNAcentral is "bacterial SSU rRNA". It matches the Rfam family "Bacterial small subunit ribosomal RNA", at positions 399 to 716 of the family's 1533-position model. The record is from RNAcentral. Lineage: Bacteria; Bacillati; Bacillota; Bacilli; Lactobacillales; Streptococcaceae.
GCGUGAGUGAAGAGGUUUUCGGAUCGUAAAGCUCUGUUGUAAGAGAAGAACGAGUGUGAGAGUGGAAAGUUCACACUGUGACGGUAUCUUACCAGAAAGGGACGGCUAACUACGUGCCAGCAGCCGCGGUAAUACGUAGGUCCCGAGCGUUGUCCGGAUUUAUUGGGCGUAAAGCGAGCGCAGGCGGUUAGAUAAGUCUGAAGUUAAAGGCUGUGGCUUAACCAUAGUACGCUUUGGAAACUGUUUAACUUGAGGUGCAAGAGGGGAGAGUGGAAGUUCCAUGUGUAGCGGUGAAAUGCGGUAAGAUAUAUGGAAGGAACACCGGUGGC